AAAAAGGGCGUGCCAUGAUGCCAUUCUCUAGGGAAUGGUUGAUAUGGCGGGAGUCUUGGUUUACUCUCGCGGUAUGGCAAUCAAGACAUAUCGAGCGCAUAAUUUUUUGAUUUGGGGUGGCUCGCAAUAGGCUUCGCUCAAGCCGGGGCCACCUU
RNAcentral lists this small nuclear RNA (155 nucleotides) under Mucor lusitanicus CBS 277.49. RNAcentral's name for it is "Mucor circinelloides f. lusitanicus CBS 277.49 U11 spliceosomal RNA". It matches the Rfam family "U11 spliceosomal RNA". The record is from Rfam by way of RNAcentral. Lineage: Eukaryota; Fungi; Mucoromycota; Mucoromycetes; Mucorales; Mucoraceae.